UAGGGAAUCUUCCACAAUGGACGCAAGUCUGAUGGAGCAACGCCGCGUGAGUGAAGAAGGUUUUCGGAUCGUAAAGCUCUGUUGUUGGUGAAGAAGGAUAGAGGUAGUAACUGGCCUUUAUGUGACGGUAAUCAACCAGCAAGUCACGGCUAACUACGUGCCAGCAGCCGCGGUAAUACGUAGGUGGCAAGCGUUGUCCGGAUUUAUUGGGCGUAAAGCGAGCGCAGGCGGAAGAAUAAGUCUGAUGUGAAAGCCCUCGGCUUAACCGAGGAACUGCAUCGGAAACUGUUUUUCUUGAGUGCAGAAGAGGAGAGUGGAACUCCAUGUGUAGCGGUGGAAUGCGUAGAUAUAUGGAAGAACACCAGUGGCGAAGGCGACUCUCUGGUCUGCAACUGACGCUGAGGCUCGAAAGCAUGGGUAGCGAACAGG
RNAcentral lists this ribosomal RNA (429 nucleotides) under bacterium. RNAcentral describes it as "partial 16S ribosomal RNA". It matches the Rfam family "Bacterial small subunit ribosomal RNA", at positions 355 to 776 of the family's 1533-position model. The record is from RNAcentral.